Sarcophilus harrisii (Tasmanian devil) is the source of this 1799-nucleotide long non-coding RNA. The record is from Ensembl. Lineage: Eukaryota; Metazoa; Chordata; Mammalia; Dasyuromorphia; Dasyuridae.
AUUACUACAGCACAGUCAUAAAGGCCCUUUGGAAUGAUUGUAAAUAUUUGUUACAUAGACUUCCAUUUUAUCUCACAGAAAAUUGAGAAAGCUAUUUUGCCAGAAAUCUCCUUUGGCACUAGGGAUCCCAGCAAUUCCUUCAUCCUCUAACUGCAAUUCAAUCCCUUCAGACUCCUUUCUUUUCCCUGAACCACCUGCAGAUCUCUGGAUGAGGUAGAGGUUAAACUUCCUAACUCCUUUCACCCCUCCCAACCCAAAUGUAUUCCUAAUGUUGAGCAUACACUUGAGCUGGUUGAGGCACUGUUGUAUUUUGAUGUACCUCUUGUGAGUGGGUGAUAGAAUUGGUGGACACUUUUUAGAGGUUAAGGGGUAAGCCCUGACCACAUUACUUGGAUCAUGAGAAAGGAGAUUUCCUGGAGGGAGAAACAGUCUGGAACUGAGCUCAUAAAGGAGUUUGAAGUUUGUAGAUAACUUGAAAACAUAACCUAAAAGGGCCUAAUGAUGAAUGGAUGACCAGAUGCAUGGAUGGAUGGAUGGAUGAAUGGAUGGAUGGAUGGAUGGUGAACUAGAGAAGAGGCUAGGGUAAUGCCUUAAUUUUCCAUGUUUAGGAAAGGGGGCUAUGUGUAGCUCUCAUUAGAUGGGGUUUUCCCUCUAUCUGGGCCUGAUUUUCCCAUUUAGUUUGUAUGUGUUCUCUUCUGGGGAAGAAUGAGUUGGCAAGGUGCCCCAACAGAUGGAUGGAAAUUAUAUAACGGAAUAAUGCUGUUUGAUGGAAUAAUCAGAUGAUGGAGGUUGGGAGGGACAGAGUUGCUAAGACAGGGGCACCAGAGGGUUGAGGACAGAGUAGGAGGGGAGAAGAUCUGGAAUCAAUUAACUCAAAGGAACUACAAAUUGGAUUAAAUCAAUUGAAUUUAAUCCUGAGCUAAGAGGCAUCCCUCACUGGCCACCUUUUUGCCCCAUCCUUAGAAGCCACUCAGACACCCCCCUAGCAAUUCACUUUUAAUUUAAGUGUAAUUUCUUUUUCUUUCCCUCUAAAUAAAGCGAAGUGAGAGGAAAGAAGGGGAAGAGGGAUGGGUUAUCAGGUGGUCCCUGUUUGAGAGUAGAACAGAACUCCGAGCCCAUGGAGAAGAGAUUUAGAACACAAGCUCUUUCAGUGGCAAACCCUACAAUGGAUACCCAUUUCAAAAUCAACAACAAAAUGACUGUAAGAUGCUAGAUUGCCAUCUUGUGACUGGCAGGGUUUUCCCUUAAUUCUUUAAGUGACUGAAUAAAAGUUCCCCCCAUUAGAGGACACUAGGCAUUCCUGCCUGGAGCCAAGUCUGGGCUGGGAGCUUCUGGGGUAAGAGGACCAUCAGUCCUGCUUGCCCCCUAACAACGUGUGUGACCCAGCAUUUGGCAGCAAAGGGGACCACGGAAAGCCUGUCCCACCUCCUACCCUCUUGUGUCCUGGGGCCUCUUCACUCUCCUUUACCAGUCAUCUUGUUAUAACUAUGGAGCUGCGUGUCUGGGGUUAUUUGGGGAUUUGGGGGGGGAGGGAGGAGGGGUAAUUUUUUUUUGCAUGACCUCUAAAGAGAAAAAAAAAACAUAUAAAUCUAUUGAUAGCUAGGUAUACAUAACUUUUGGCAUGUGUAUAUCUAUCUAUCCUGAGGAAGAGAACUUGAUGAAAGAUGAGCACUCUGCUCCAUGAAUGCUAGGGGAUCUUUCCUCUUUUCUGACUUUCUCUUCUUUCUUUUUGCUGAGUUUCAUUGUCUUUUCUUUCUGAGCCUUGUAAGUGUAAAAACAAAAAUGAUUCUUAUUUUGUU